GAUGAACGCUAGCUACAGGCUUAACACAUGCAAGUCGAGGGGCAGCAUUUUUAUAGCGAUAUAAAAGAUGGCGACCGGCGCACGGGUGAGUAACACGUAUCCAACCUGCCGAUAACUCGGGGAUAACCCUUCGAAAGAAGGCCUAAUACCCGGUGGCAUAUCCCUUCCGCCUGGUGGGGAUAUUAAAGACUUCGGUUAUCGAUGGGGAUGCGUUCCAUUAGCUUGUGCGGGUAACGGCCACCAAGGCAUCGAUGGAUAGGGGUUCUGAGAGGAAGGUCCCCCCACAUUGGAACUGAGACACGGUCCAAACUCCUACGGGAGGCAGCAGUGAGGAAUAUUGGUCAAUGGACGAGAGUCUGAACCAGCCAAGCAGCGUGAAGGAUGAAGGUCCUAUGGGAUUGUAAACUUCUUUUAUACGGGAAUAAAGUGCAGUAUGCAUACUGUUUU
This 447-nucleotide ribosomal RNA is filed under the name uncultured bacterium. Its description in RNAcentral is "bacterial SSU rRNA". It matches the Rfam family "Bacterial small subunit ribosomal RNA", at positions 28 to 470 of the family's 1533-position model. The record is from RNAcentral.